AUGGGCCCUCUUGUGGUAGACCCACAUGUCAUCGGUGUAACUAUUUACACUCCGAAGGACGUCUUCCACUCUUCUUCCUCCUCUCUUCUUCUUCCUCCUCUCUUCCCCAUCGUCGGCCGCACACCAUUUACCCCCGCUCACUGCUCGCCCGCCUGCGGCAUCUUCCUUGGUAGCUCCAGACGCAAAUGCGCUGGCCUUCAUGAUUCUAGGACAUGGAAUCAUACCAGCCGAUGGUCGAAGAAGGAUUGGCCGGUGCUGCCGGCUGGCAUCAAGUUCGAUCCCACGGAUCAGGAGCUGAUCGAGCACCUUGAGGCCAAAGCGAGUGUUGACAGCGCGAGAUUUCAGUCUCUCAUCGAUUUGUUCAUACCAACCAUCGACAGCGAGCACGACAUAUGCUACACCCAACCUGAGAAACUUCCAGGUAUCACACUGAGUGUCCUAAGGAAGCAUUUCUUCCAGCACAAUUCCAGGGCAUUCAAAAGGGGCACGUGCACGCAUCGCAAGAUACAGUCGGAGUGCGGCAUGCACACAAUGUGGCACAAGACCGGCAAUACCUUGCCGGUGAUGGUCAACGGCCGGCAAACGGGUAGCAAAAAAGGUUCUGGUGCUGCACACCAACAAGAACUUCGACCAGCAGAGGACCAACUGGGUGAUGCACCAGUACCACCUCGGGUACCUGGAGCAAGAGAAGGAGUAGGAGCUGGUCCUCUGCAAGAUUUUCUACCAGACGAACACUAG
This 738-nucleotide ribosomal RNA is filed under the name Triticum aestivum (bread wheat). RNAcentral's name for it is "partial small subunit ribosomal RNA". Lineage: Eukaryota; Viridiplantae; Streptophyta; Magnoliopsida; Poales; Poaceae. The record is from RNAcentral.